This is an RNA transcript of Hevea brasiliensis (rubber tree), 1760 nucleotides long. RefSeq lists it as uncharacterized. Lineage: Eukaryota; Viridiplantae; Streptophyta; Magnoliopsida; Malpighiales; Euphorbiaceae. The transcript is spliced from 3 exons. The record is from RefSeq and is a predicted model, not a curated record.
AGCUGCAGAACCUGAUGAUCAGCCUCUGCCGACCAUGUCUCCUCAUGCACAGAUUACUCAAGCAGUCUUGGACAAGAAUAAUAAGGGCCAUUUUCAAGUGAAAAUAAUGAAGCAAAUAUUGUGGGUUGAUGGGAUUCACUAUGAGCUACGUGAGAUUAAUUUAUGGCUUUGGCAAUUCCCAUGUGUCAGGGAAAGAAUGUGUCAUUUGCAUGACUGAGCCAAAGGACACAGCUGUUUUUGCCUUGUCGACAUAUGGUGAGAUAGAAUACUGAUCUUAAGCAUAUAUAUUCUUAUUAUUACUCUUCUCUAUGGACGUUAAAUUUUUAUUACUUGUACAAUUAGCCUCCAAAAAAGCCAUGUUUGAUCUGAUUUUGAUCAGUAGAUGUGUGCUUGCAUUGGUUGUCUGACAUGAGACACUGGCUUGCUUACUUUUCUGAUGAGUGAAUGAAGAUCAAUAGAUCAUCAAUGUGGACUUAUUAGUGCUGUCCUAGUUUUACAGGUGAAUCUCAAAUGGCCACAUUUAGGAUUUGAAGCCAUAAAGAGCUUAAGAUGACAAUUUAACUGUGUUUUAAAUGUUUAAAUCUAGUUGGGACUGAGUUAUUUGACCUCAGGAUGUUGGGAUGCACUUAAUAUCUGUCAUGUUUAUUGGAAUAUAAUUUAUUUCAUUCUACUAAGUAGAUGUACUAGUUCCAGUUCAAAGUUUAGGUUUUGGUUUCGUUUUUUAUUCGGUUCUGUUUUGAUCAAAUCUAAUGAUUUAAAAUUAUUUUUUUAUCUUUUUUUUUUUAAAGAAAAAGUUCGAUUUUUAUCUGGUUGAAAGUUAAUUUUGAUCAAUUUCGGUUCGAUUUUGAACCGGACUUUCUGGUUCUUCUGAGUCACCAUUUGUAGACUGUCAUUUCACUUAUAUAUCUUUAGAUGCAUAAACUUUUUUUUUAGCAGUGUUAAGUGCCCAAUAUGCCGCCAAACCAUCCAGGAACUUGUGGAGAUCAAGAUUAGCGAAGAUCAUCCUCCUACAUCAGGGGGGUAGAUUCGUUCCCUCACCAAGAAUUCCACAGGGUAACAGGAUGCAGAUUGUUCUCAUAAGAACUUUUGAAGCCAAGAUUCGUAUUCAAUGGCAGCUACAGCCCAUGAGAGGCCAAGUAUAAUUUGACAUGGAAUUCUUGUUUAUACACAGAAGGUUGAUAUAGUUCCUUCUUGGAAUAUUUGUAAUACAAGCAAUGAGGCGAAAGUGCUUUAGAAUGUCUAAAGUACAGGUGAAGACUCAAGGUAUUGUGGCAUAAAGAGGGGGACAAAAGUGAGGUCUUUGGUCUCAAAAUACUGUCUGAAAGUGAAAGGGAUCAGUAACUAUCACUUUUUUUUUUCCCUCAGAAAUUUGAAUCUUUGUUGAUCUUGUUCUUUAGAUUACAGAUCUAACUAUUGGCUUCGAUUUUCAUGCCAGCACUCAGCAGCAGCAGCAGUAUCUUGAUUCUUGAAAAGCAUUGGGAUUGAUUCUGUCACUUCCUCUCUUAUUAAUGGGUCCAUAUCUCAAUUGCAUGGUUGCUUUACAGGGGAAAAAGUAAAAGUCAUGUUUAAAAAUAAGGUUUCUUUCCACUCACAGGAUUGCUUUAAUUAAUAGCUUGGUUUUUGAUGAUUCUAAAUCUUUUGUUUUUCUUGUUUACUUUUUUCCUUUUUUAUUUCCAAUUAAUAGAAGCUUGUUUUUAUCAUAAUUAAAAGCAGACAAACAACUGUAGCAUCUUGAAAAGCAAAUCAAGAAUUGCUUCUAA